UACGUAGGUGACCAGCGUUGUCCGGAUUUACUGGGCGUAAAGAGCGCGCAGGCGGUCGUUCAAGUCGAGUGUGAAAGCCCCCGGCUCAACUGGGGAGGGUCACUCGAUACUGAUCGACUUGAAGGCAGGAGAGGGAAGCGGAAUUCCCGGUGUAGUGGUGAAAUGCGUAGAUAUCGGGAGGAACACCAGUGGCGAAGGCGGCUUCCUGGCCUGUUCUUGACGCUGAGGCGCGAAAGCUAGGGGAGCGAACGGG
RNAcentral lists this ribosomal RNA (253 nucleotides) under uncultured bacterium. Its description in RNAcentral is "partial 16S ribosomal RNA". It matches the Rfam family "Bacterial small subunit ribosomal RNA", at positions 524 to 776 of the family's 1533-position model. The record is from RNAcentral.